This 16-nucleotide ribosomal RNA is filed under the name Primulina sp. 2 JT-2014. RNAcentral's name for it is "partial 18S ribosomal RNA". Lineage: Eukaryota; Viridiplantae; Streptophyta; Magnoliopsida; Lamiales; Gesneriaceae. The record is from RNAcentral.
CUGCGGACGAUCAUUG